Paramuricea clavata is the source of this 664-nucleotide non-coding RNA. The record is from the annotation of a GenBank genome assembly. Lineage: Eukaryota; Metazoa; Cnidaria; Anthozoa; Malacalcyonacea; Plexauridae.
GCCCUUUAACUAUCCAUUUUUUCCUAAAAAUUCAGCCUUUCGCAUGCUUAAUUAAUGCACGCGUUUACCUAAUUUGCAUAUUGCUGACACAUGCAAAUUAGGCAAAUGCAUUAAUUAAGUAGUCAGAGCAUUCAUAACUCAUUUCUUCGUUCACUUCCACGAGAAAAAGUAAAUCGUACUAGAAAUCGCAGCAGAAAGUCAACAUUUUUCACUAUAUGUGGUCCUGAUACGGACGGAGAAAGUAAAUGAAGAAGCUCAGAGCUCGACAACUGGUCUCUGUAGCUCUAAUAGUUUGAGCGCUGCACCCGGAAUCGUAAUGGUAGUAAAGAUAGUUCGUCGUAUAUUAUCAAUCGUAUGAAUUUAAUGCAGUUUUAGAAGUUGAAGACAUGGGUUUUAUGGUUGGGAAGAGUUCUGCUAAACCCAGUUUGAAGUUGCACUUGUUGCGGCUUGGAAUGCAGCCGUUGUAUCAAGACGUGAAAAUCUGUGAUUUCGCGUUGUAAACAGAGCGAGGACAAUCUCUAAAUUAUUUAUAUAUUGUAAUUACUCAAUUCAUUUCAAUGAUCUAUUUUAUUGGUAGCCGUUGCCGUGCUAAAAUCGUAAGGUCUCUAUUUUCAUCUCCAAAAAACCCUUCGAAUAGACCUUACCGAUUCAAUUCUCUUUUACC